CUAUGAUGGGGAUAACAGUUGGAAACGACUGCUAAUAUCGAAUACGCUCAUAAUGAACUUUAUGAGGAAAGGUGGCCUCUGCUUGCAAGCUAUCGCAUAGAGAUGAGUCCGCGUCCCAUUAGCUAGUUGGUGGGGUAACGGCCUACCAAGGCAACGAUGGGUAGCCGAUCUGAGAGGAUGAUCGGCCACACUGGAACUGAAACACGGUCCAG
Molecule: ribosomal RNA, 212 nt
Filed under: uncultured bacterium
Lineage: Bacteria
Description: partial 16S ribosomal RNA
Rfam family: Bacterial small subunit ribosomal RNA
Source: RNAcentral